GACGAACGCUGGCGGCGUGCUUAACACAUGCAAGUCGAACGGAGUUCCUUGGAUAGAGGCUUCGGCCAAUUGAAAUGGAACUUAGUGGCGGACUGGUGAGUAACGCGUGAGGAACCUGCCUUUCAGAGGGGGACAACAGUUGGAAACGACUGCUAAUACCGCAUGGCACAUUCGGAUGGCAUCACCUGAAUGUCAAAGAUUUUAUCGCUGAAAGAUGGCCUCGCGUCUGAUUAGCUAGUUGGUGGGGUAACGGCCCACCAAGGCGACGAUCAGUAGCCGGACUGAGAGGUUGACCGGCCACAUUGGGACUGAGAUACGGCCCAGACUCCUACGGGAGGCAGCAGUGGGGAAUAUUGGGCAAUGGACGCAAGUCUGACCCAGCAACGCCGCGUGAAGGAAGAAGGCUUUCGGGUUGUAAACUUCUUUUAAGUGGGAAGAGCAGAAGACGGUACCACAGGAGGAAGCCAUGGCUAACUACGUGCCAGCAGCCGCGGAA
This 496-nucleotide ribosomal RNA is filed under the name uncultured bacterium. Its description in RNAcentral is "bacterial SSU rRNA". It matches the Rfam family "Bacterial small subunit ribosomal RNA", at positions 28 to 522 of the family's 1533-position model. The record is from RNAcentral.